RNAcentral lists this ribosomal RNA (253 nucleotides) under uncultured bacterium. RNAcentral describes it as "partial 16S ribosomal RNA". It matches the Rfam family "Bacterial small subunit ribosomal RNA", at positions 524 to 776 of the family's 1533-position model. The record is from RNAcentral.
UACGAAGGUCCCAAGCGUUAUCCGGAUUUAUUGGGUUUAAAGGGUGCGUAGGCGGGUUAUCAAGUCAGUGGUGAAAGCUCCAUGCCUAACAUGGAAAUUGCCAUUGAUACUGAUGAUCUUGAGUACAUUUGAAGUGGGCGGAAUGUGUCAUGUAGUGGUGAAAUACUUAGAUAUGACACAGAACACCGAUUGCGUAGGCAGCUCACUAAACUGUAACUGACGCUGAGGCACGAAAGCGUGGGGAGCAAACAGG